CGCGCCAUCCAGCAGCCGCGGCAGCCCCGGUGGCCGGCGCCGCCGCCCAAGAAAGCUUUGCGGGCAGCUAGGCCUGCGAGCAAGACGCCGGCGCGGUGCGGCGCGGCGAGCAGUCCCCUUGGGCCCACGAGGAGCCUGAGGAAGCCGACGUCGAGGUCGGGGUUCUCGACGACGGGGGCGAGUCCGGCGGAGGUGCCGCCUUCCAAGGUCCGAGAAGCCAUCUUGUUCUGAGAGGAGAAUCGCAACUUGCAGAAUGUUUCGCCAACAUUGCAGCAACAUGACUCUGGUGCAGAGGUAGAAUGCUGCUCUGGUGAGGGUUUCAUGAGGAACUCAGAUUUAUUAAGCCUGCAGCUGGAGCUGGACAUAAUUAAAACAAUUCUUGUGGAAGAGAUAAAAGCACGAGCUGAAAUUGAAGUCAGGACAUCCGCUUUAGGUGAUGAGCUGAAAGCAGCAAAUUUACAUAUCCUUGAAGCUUACAGGCAGAAGGAAGACAAAGAAAUGGAACUGAACAGUCCAAAAUCUGUUAUCGAUGCUCUUGAAUCGCAGCAGAUUAUUUUGAUUAAUGAAGUAGAUGAACUGAAGAAGAACUCUCGCAGUUCUGCUGAGCAAGAAAAGGACGAAGCACGUAGGCAAGUUGAGAUGGAAAUGUCUGAGGUGAUUAUAUCCUUAGACAAACAGAAAAACGAGCUGUUGGCUAAACAAAGCCUUGGUGAAUUUGAUAGAAUAGAGCUUUUGUUGGACGAGUCCAUCAAAACACUUGUGCAGAAGGAGGUUCUUGAGCAAAACUAUGUUUCUUUGCUAAGGGGGAUGGCUUGUCUCAUGGAAUAAAGAAAGAGAGAUAGCAGAACAAAUGAAGGCAUAUGCUGAAGAGAAGAAUGAAGAAGUCAAGCUGUUGGA
Molecule: long non-coding RNA, 897 nt
Organism: Panicum virgatum (switchgrass)
Lineage: Eukaryota; Viridiplantae; Streptophyta; Magnoliopsida; Poales; Poaceae
Exons: 3
Source: RefSeq, a predicted model, not a curated record